CUAGCUUGAAUAUUGUUCCAUCCCUGCGAGAUGAUUUCAGAAAAUCUACAUCUUGCGAGGAUGGUUUUGGAAAUGAGAAAAAUAAUGUACACCUCUGUAAUUCUCCAAAGAUUGUCCAGGACAAAAUACAGAAUCGGUCUCCAUUACUAAUGAGAUCCAACAAAGGUGCCACUAAUUUUGAGACAGAUCCAUGGGGAAAGGAUAAGUACCAUGUUUCUCAGAUCAGUCAGGUAAGAGAAUCGGGAAAUGCAGAAGUUCUUGGAAGGCAGCAACGUGAUUCCAUUCACCAUGAAAUCAACAAGAAAUUAGAAGAGCUUGAAUUCCUGCAAUCAAACAAGGAUUUUAGAGCACUCAAACAGAUACUGGAUGCUAUUGAGAAAAAGAAAAAGUCAGAAACCAUUCAAUCCAAAGAACAACAAAAGUUCGUAGAAAUUUUACAAAAUACAAGAACUGAUGAAUCCCCUCCAAUUGUGAUAAUGAAACCUACAAAUAUCAUCAGAAAAUGCACUUCUCCUCCAACAGCAAUCGUUCCAAUGGAAGGUCUAGCCGGGCUUCGAAAACUUCGAACUAGUAAUAUAAAAGAUAACCAACCAGUUUACCAUAGUCCAUGUCAACUUUCCGUCAAUGAAAGAACUCCUAAGGGCAGUCCCAAAUCCAAUGCAUCCCCUAACCACCUUCAAACUUCUAGAAAUAAUAAAUCUAAUAUCACAGGCAAUGAAAGUAGUCCUCAUGGUCAUUGGGUAAGGAAACUACAAGGCUCCUCUAGCCCAAAGCCACCACCAUCAAACAUGACCAAUGGUAGCCCUUUAAGAACUUCAAGUUCUUCAAGCCCACAUCCGCAACAGAGAAAACAUGAGCUUAAGAAGAAAUCUCAUGUGAUCAGUCCUUCAGAUACAAGCAAACAUCAAAAGCAAGCCAGGCAGCAUACAAAAUCUCACAGUCCCAGAGGGAAUCUUAGAAUUAAGCCAAAACUGUCACAUUAUGAUCAAGAUCAAAUUUCUAGUAGCACAAUACCCCGAUUAGAUGUAGAAGUAAGCAUAAGCUCCGAUAAACUUACUAAACAGAAACUAAACUCAUCUGGAAAGGGAAGCUUUAAUGGCGUGACUUCUAUCGUAGAAUCGAAGGUAAAAUUUAAAUGGAAGUUUGGAUUACAUGUACCUUAAUAGAAAUAAGUCAAUAACGUGAUUUAAUUUUCAUUUAUUUUUGCACUUGAACUUUCAUUUCAGAAGUCAUUGGUGAAUUUAAGGGAAAGUUCUUCUGCAAAGCUCGAAGCAACCAGUGGCUCUGAACAACCAAGUCCCAUAUCUGUCCUUGAUGCCUCAGUUUACAAGAAUGAUUUACCACAUUCACCAGUAGGUGAAAUAUUGUAUUCAUUCAAAGGUGAUAUAUACUCUGAUUUAAUAAUCUUAUUCUCAGUUUCUAAUAACCUCACUAAAAGAAUUAGAUGAAAUGUAUACAUUAAGAACACUAGAUUUUUUCUGAAUGAUUUUGUUUUUCUUUAAGCAAAACAGAUAACGAGACAACAUCUGGGAACAGAAACCAAACAUUCCUCAACAUACAACUUAUCAAUCCAGAAAUGGCUAGAAACUACAGAAAUUUUAAAAACAACAUUGUCUUGGUUCAAAAAUCUGGUCGUAUCAGCUUAACAGAAAAAGAUUCAGGAAACACCAGUCACUUUAACAAGCUAUGUGCAAGUAGUCAUGAUCCAAAUUAUCCUUACAUAUCAGAGAUAUUGCAUGCUACUGAUUUUCAAUUUGAAGAUUACAGACUCACGUCAGAGCAUGCGAUCAACCCAAACUUAUUUCUGUUGCUUGAGAAAAAGAGAGCAAAGUUUGCAAACACUAAAUUCGAGUCCCGUGAGAAUAUUCCUACGGCAAAGACUGAUCAAGAGAAGCUUCAAAGGAAGCUCAUGUUCGACACAGUUGACGAGAUUCUAGUUCAUAAACUGAGAUUUGGGAAAUUAAGUCAUCAUCAUACCAGAAUUCAAACACCAAGUGAUAGUGAUCUACUGCAUGAUUUAUGUUUAGAAAUUAACCAGCUGCAAGCUGAUGCCACACUGAUUAGUACUUCCAAUAAUGACGACAAUAAUGGUUUGAAGCUUGUUUUGAACCAAGACGUGAUAAAUCGGUCUCAAGAAUGGAGUGUAUCAGGAAGUGAGGUUUCUGGGCUGGUACUUAACAUUGAAAAAUCUAUAUUCAAAGACCUCAUUGAAGAGGUGAUUGGCAAUGUACCGAAAGUGUGUGUUCAAGCAAAAUUAAGCCAUCGCCGAAAACUUUUUGCUAAUUGAUCAAACUAAGAAAAAUUAUGAAUUGUUGCUUUGGUUUGCCAUUAUGAUCCAAACAUAAUCCAAAUUUCAUAGUUUAUUUUAAAGUAAAUUUUACAAAAGUAAAACAAGAACAUUGUAUGUAAAUUUCAUACAAUUUACAUCUUAUUGCUCCAUUUACAGAACCCCCAUUUACAGAACAAGAUAAUGGAAGAACCUCCAUUUACAAAACAUUUACAGAAAUUGAUGAUCUUAUUGCUGAGAAGGGCAUUUACAGAACAUUUACAGAAACAUUACAGAAAUACCACUUUCUAAGUAAAAUUGAUUGGAAACAUUUCUAAGUAUUUACAAAAACAUUUACAGAAAUUGAUUGGAAGAACCUUCUUAUUGCUAAAAAGAAUAUGAUAAUGACCUAGAGCACAUAAAUAGUUCUCAAGGAUUACCUUCAUAUUCACUUUUACUAAAUCUACUAAACUCAAUCAAUGAAAGAUUAGAUCUUCCAAGAACUGGAUUUCUGUAAAGAUUUUAAUUUCUGUAAAUCUACUCUACUAGACUCACUUUUACAACCGAUUUUAAUUUCUGUAAAGAUUUUAAAAAAUUUAAUUUCACAAGAAAUGGAAAACAGUGAAAUAUUUGAGAUUUUAAUUUCAUAAGAUCCAUAGAGAUUUUAAUUUCAAAUAGUUUAAACAGUGAAAUGGAAAAUCCAAAUCGAUAUCGAUUAAACAAUGAAAAAAAUCGAGAACCCAAAGAUGGGUUGUGGAGUCUUACCUUGGAGUUCACCGGAACCCAAACUGUAUAUAAACCUCAAAGACAACUGUAAAUUCUCACGUGAAAAACAGAGAAAGUGAUCCGAGAGGUUAGCGAGAACGCGUAAGGGAUUGGAAUCUGUAUAUAAAAGGUAGGACUUGAUGGCAAAGGGGUAUUCUUGUAAUAAGAGAAACAUUGAUGGCUUUUUUAGUUUUUUUCUAAUCCAAGUUCU
This 3242-nucleotide long non-coding RNA is filed under the name Zostera marina. Its description in RNAcentral is "long non-coding RNA (ZMAR_LNC004620)". Lineage: Eukaryota; Viridiplantae; Streptophyta; Magnoliopsida; Alismatales; Zosteraceae. The record is from RNAcentral.